AUGUUGUUGCUGGUUGAUUCCGGGAGUACACACAGUUUCGUCAAUGCCUCCUUCGCCAAACGCAUCACUGCAGUGACCAAGCCCUUACCUACAGUAGCUGUCAGAGUGGCUAAUGGACAACAGCUACAGUGCACUGAAAUGGUUCCUCAAUUACAAUGCACAGCACAGGGACACAAGUUCAGUUCAGAUAUGCGUGUCCUGCAACUUGGGGUCUAUGACGCAGUCCUUGGGGUGGAUUGGCUUGCCCAACAUAGCCCGAUGCAGUGUGAUUGGAACCUCAAGACAAUUCAGUUUGAUUGCGAAGGAACACCGGUGCAUCUCACCAGUGUCUGA
Molecule: ribosomal RNA, 333 nt
Filed under: Triticum aestivum (bread wheat)
Lineage: Eukaryota; Viridiplantae; Streptophyta; Magnoliopsida; Poales; Poaceae
Description: partial small subunit ribosomal RNA
Source: RNAcentral